GGUGAGGUGGUCGAGUGGUUAGGCAGCGGCCUGCAAAGCCGUGUACGCGGGUUCGAAUCCCGUCCUCACCUC
This 72-nucleotide transfer RNA is filed under the name Rothia dentocariosa. RNAcentral describes it as "tRNA-Cys(gca)". It matches the Rfam family "tRNA". From Rfam's summary of the family: Transfer RNA (tRNA) molecules are approximately 80 nucleotides in length. Their secondary structure includes four short double-helical elements and three loops (D, anti-codon, and T loops). The record is from RNAcentral. RNAcentral also lists the same sequence under 4 other names. Lineage: Bacteria; Bacillati; Actinomycetota; Actinomycetes; Micrococcales; Micrococcaceae.